This 403-nucleotide ribosomal RNA is filed under the name uncultured bacterium. Its description in RNAcentral is "partial 16S ribosomal RNA". It matches the Rfam family "Bacterial small subunit ribosomal RNA", at positions 29 to 526 of the family's 1533-position model. The record is from RNAcentral.
AGUGAACGCUGGCGGCAGGCCUAACACAUGCAAGUCGAGCGAGCGGCGGACGGGUGAGUAAUGUAUGGGGACUGCCCGGUAGAGGGGGAUAACUACUGGAAACGGUUGCUAAUACCGCAUACUAUCGGGUUACCCAUAUGGGAUUAGCUAGUAGGUGGGGUAAAGGCUCAACUAGGCGACGAACUCUAGCUGGUCUGAGAGGAUGAUUAGCCACACUGGAACGGAGACCCGGCCCAGACUCCUACGGAGGCAGCAGUGGGGAAUAGUGCACAAUGGGCGCAAGCACGAUGCAGCCAUGACGAGGGUAUGAAGAAGGCGUUAGGGUUGUAAAGUACUUUCAGCGGGGAGGCGUUACCCGCAGAAGAAGCACCGGCUAACUCCGUGCCAGCAGCCGCGGUAAUAC